Molecule: small nucleolar RNA, 132 nt
Organism: Vulpes vulpes (red fox)
Lineage: Eukaryota; Metazoa; Chordata; Mammalia; Carnivora; Canidae
Source: Ensembl
UUGCACAAAGAAAGGCGAGGAUAAAAGAGAGAUCCAGUGUGUAAGCAGCGCUAUUUCUAAUGUGCUACAAAGGGUUGAAGGGUAAUUAGCAGUAUAACUAAACAAUCAUUUGCCAGUCUCCUUCAGACAAAC